Salmo salar (Atlantic salmon) is the source of this 72-nucleotide non-coding RNA. Lineage: Eukaryota; Metazoa; Chordata; Actinopteri; Salmoniformes; Salmonidae. The record is from Rfam.
GGCUCGUUGGUCUAGGGGUAUGAUUCUCGCUUCGGGUGUGAGAGGUCCUGGGUUCAAAUCCCGGACGAGCCC